UGGACAGUGAUCAUAAGACAAGAAAUAUAUAAACAAAAAGUGAAACCGUGAAAAGAGAAGCAUUUAUAGAAGCUGCACUACAGCAUCUAAUCAGGAGGACUUUUCCCAAGCAUCAGUGACAGUGCUGGACUACACAGUGGAGGAACCUCAAAAACAUUUUGCUAAGUAAAAGAAGCUGGACAAAAA
Molecule: non-coding RNA, 186 nt
Organism: Macaca mulatta (Rhesus monkey)
Lineage: Eukaryota; Metazoa; Chordata; Mammalia; Primates; Cercopithecidae
Source: RefSeq, a predicted model, not a curated record